UGGGGAAUUUUGGACAAUGGGCGAAAGCCUGAUCCAGCAAUGCCGCGUGUGUGAAGAAGGCCUUCGGGUUGUAAAGCACUUUUGUCCGGAAAGAAAUCCUUGGCUCUAAUACAGUCGGGGGAUGACGGUACCGGAAGAAUAAGCACCGGCUAACUACGUGCCAGCAGCCGCGGUAAUACGUAGGGUGCAAGCGUUAAUCGGAAUUACUGGGCGUAAAGCGUGCGCAGGCGGUUUGCUAAGACCGGAUGUGAAAUCCCCGGGCUCAACCUGGGAACUGCAUUGGUGACUGGCAGGCUAGAGUAUGGCAGAGGGGGGUAGAAUUCCACGUGUAGCAGUGAAAUGCGUAGAGAUGUGGAGGAAUACCGAUGGCGAAGGCAGCCCCCUGGGCCAAUACUGACGCUCAUGCACGAAAGCGUGGGGAGCAAACAGGAUUAGAUACCCUGGUAGUCCACGCCCUAAACGAUGUCAACUAGUUGUUGGGGAUUCAUUUCCUAGUAACGUAGCUAACGCGUGAAGUUGACCGCCUGGGGAGUACGGUCGCAAGAUU
This 547-nucleotide ribosomal RNA is filed under the name uncultured bacterium. RNAcentral describes it as "partial 16S ribosomal RNA". It matches the Rfam family "Bacterial small subunit ribosomal RNA", at positions 355 to 895 of the family's 1533-position model. The record is from RNAcentral.